AACGAACGCUGGCGGCAUGCCUAACACAUGCAAGUCGAACGAGACCUUCGGGUCUAGUGGCGCACGGGUGCGUAACGCGUGGGAACCUGCCUUUAGGUUCGGAAUAACUCAGAGAAAUUUGAGCUAAUACCGGAUAAUGUCUUCGGACCAAAGAUUUAUCGCCUUUAGAUGGGCCCGCGUUGGAUUAGCUAGUUGGUGGGGUAAAGGCCUACCAAGGCGACGAUCCAUAGCUGGUCUGAGAGGAUGAUCAGCUACACUGGGACUGAGACACGGCCCAGACUCCUACGGAGGCAGCAGUGGGGAAUAUUAGGACAAUGGGCGAAAGCCUGAUCAGCCAUGCCGCGUGUGUGAAGAAGGUCUUCGGAUUGUAAAGCACUUUAAGUUGGGAGGAAGGGCAGUAAGUUAAGU
RNAcentral lists this ribosomal RNA (408 nucleotides) under uncultured bacterium. RNAcentral describes it as "bacterial SSU rRNA". It matches the Rfam family "Bacterial small subunit ribosomal RNA", at positions 29 to 465 of the family's 1533-position model. The record is from RNAcentral.